RNAcentral lists this ribosomal RNA (387 nucleotides) under Triticum aestivum (bread wheat). RNAcentral's name for it is "partial small subunit ribosomal RNA". The record is from RNAcentral. Lineage: Eukaryota; Viridiplantae; Streptophyta; Magnoliopsida; Poales; Poaceae.
AUGGAGAUCACGGGCAGCACGAUAUUGAAGCCGGUGCCGCACCCGCUCGUUGGAAACAAGGUCCCGCUGACCAUACUCGACCACGCUGCCUCAGACCUGUUCGUCCCCACCGUCCUCGCCUACCUCGCGCCAGCACCGUCCAACGAGGCUCUCAAGGAAGGCCUUCUCAAGGCCGUCGCGCCGUAUCCCCACCUGGCGGGGCGCCUUGCUGUCGAUGAGCUCGGCCGGCGCUUCCUCCACGUCAAUAAUGAAGGCGUGCUCCUAAUUGAGACGACGGUACCGGCUAACCUGGCGGAGCAUGCUCGUACCUGGCAAUGGCGAUGCUUUUAUAUCGUUAUCUUGUUGAAGACAUUGCUCGGAUAUGCUCGGACUGGUUCUUUACGGUGA